Molecule: ribosomal RNA, 763 nt
Filed under: Coleoptera sp. NZAC 03013273
Lineage: Eukaryota; Metazoa; Arthropoda; Insecta; Coleoptera
Description: eukaryotic LSU rRNA
Rfam family: Eukaryotic large subunit ribosomal RNA
Source: RNAcentral
UACGUGAAACCGUUCAGGGGUAAACCUGAGAAACCCGAAAGGUCGAAAGAGGAAAUUCAUUCGCGUUUCGAUGUUGAAGUUGAGCGUUUGUAUGACGGAUGACGUUUCGGCGUCGUCUGCAUCUUGUGCUUUUCGAAUUGACGUCGAACGCGUGCACUUUUCCUCUAGUAGGACGUCGCGAUCCGUUGGGUGUCUGUCUAAGGCUCGGGGUGGAGCCCACUUGAUUUUAUAUCGUGUGGACCCUCGAUGUCCCGACAGACUCGCUCGACGGUAUACUAAUGGCGCGGGGCCGCUACUUCAGUUAGCGUUCGGCCCGUAGCAAGCAUGUUCUGUGUUUGAUGGCGAUCGGACCUAGUGCCGAUUCUGUCCCGGAGCAACUGUUGGUUACGGUGUUCUCGAACAGACCUCGUUUACGAAACGCCGAUCAGCGACGCUUUAGAUUUGGGUACUUUCAGGACCCGUCUUGAAACACGGACCAAGGAGUCUAGCAUGUGCGCGAGUCAUUGGGAUACAACUAAACCUAAAGGCGUAAUGAAAGUAAAGGUUUACCUUGCGUAGACCGAGGGAGGAUGAGCGGUUUGCCCUUAAAAGUGACCGCUCCGCACUCCCGGGGCGUCUCAUUCUCAUUGCGAGAAGAGGCGCAUCAAGAGCGUACACGCUGGGACCCGAAAGAUGGUGAACUAUGCCUGGUCAGGACGAUAGUCAGGGGAAACCCUGAUGGAGGUCCGUAGCGAUUCUGACGUGCAAAUCGAUCGUCGGAACU